CAAGUCGAACGGCAGCGCGGGGCAACCUGGCGGCGAGUGGCGAACGGGUGAGUAAUAUAUCGGAACGUACCCAGGAGUGGGGGAUAACGUAGCGAAAGUUACGCUAAUACCGCAUACGAUCCAAGGAUGAAAGUGGGGGACCUUCGGGCCUCAUGCUCCUGGAGCGGCCGAUAUCUGAUUAGCUAGUUGGUGAGGUAAAGGCUCACCAAGGCGACGAUCAGUAGCUGGUCUGAGAGGACGACCAGCCACACUGGGACUGAGACACGGCCCAGACUCCUACGGGAGGCAGCAGUGGGGAAUUUUGGACAAUGGGCGCAAGCCUGAUCCAGCAAUGCCGCGUGAGUGAAGAAGGCCUUCGGGUUGUAAAGCUCUUUUGUCAGGGAAGAAACGGCUGAGGUUAAUACCUUCGGCUAAUGACGGUACCUGAAGAAUAAGCACCGGCUAACUACGUGCCAGCAGCCGCGGUAAUACGUAGGGUGCAAGCGUUAAUCGGAAUUACUGGGCGUAAAGCGUGCGCAGGCGGUUUUGUAAGUCUGACGUGAAAUCCCUGGGCUCACCUGGGAAUUGCGUUGGAAACUGCAGGCUGGA
This 588-nucleotide ribosomal RNA is filed under the name uncultured Oxalobacteraceae bacterium. RNAcentral's name for it is "bacterial SSU rRNA". It matches the Rfam family "Bacterial small subunit ribosomal RNA", at positions 58 to 645 of the family's 1533-position model. The record is from RNAcentral. Lineage: Bacteria; Pseudomonadati; Pseudomonadota; Betaproteobacteria; Burkholderiales; Oxalobacteraceae.